Molecule: long non-coding RNA, 997 nt
Organism: Cucurbita maxima (winter squash)
Lineage: Eukaryota; Viridiplantae; Streptophyta; Magnoliopsida; Cucurbitales; Cucurbitaceae
Exons: 2
Source: RefSeq, a predicted model, not a curated record
UCUGCUGCUUUGAUGCAUCCAACGCCGUCAUCUUGUAGCCAAUGCUGGGACAAGGCCAUCACUACUCAUGAACAUAGCAAGUUUCAGUAAAUGCUUGUCCAUAAAAAGGAGGCAAUAUCUAAUCUUUCAGACAUUCUUUUAAAUCCAUUAUGUGUGGAAGCUAACAGAACAUUUCCAACAAAACAUGAAUAGAUGGACCACUGAAAUUGAACAAACAAUCAUUGCAAUUUUGGAACCAUGUAGAUUAGAGAACAGAGAAGAGUAGGCAAAACAAAGGUUUGUAGUACUUACAAGCAACAGCCUCUCUUCCUCUCACUGCUUGGUUCUGUCAUGAUUGUUGAUCCAAAAUUGCAGACUACUGAUCCUGCAGCUUAUUGAAGAUCAUGAAAGCCUUAAAGCAAUCAAUACUACGGAUGUAAUGCAAAGGCCUCAUAUUUAUCCAUCUCCAUCAGGUGUGCUAUGUGUUCUUCCAUUUGUGAAUGACAUCUUUUUGGCCAUUGUUCCUUUGCUACGAAAUUUUGAAACAUGAUCCUUCAUGCUUUUGGCAACUCUAAGUUAGCCUAACGACAUUUAUGACUUUCUAGCCUCAACUUUUGUGGGUCAUCCUUUCCAUGGAGUCAAGAAGGUUUUGUGGCUUGCAUUAAACAUAACUUUCCUAUGGUUUCUUUGGGCGAGAGGAACGGAAGAAUAUUUAAGGAUUCUUUCUCCAAUUUUGAUACUUUUAUGGACUUAAUUCUUUUUCAUGCAUUGUGUUGGUGUAAAUGUAAACACCCUUUUUCUAAUUAUAGCUUAUCUUCUAACUUCUAAAUUUGGGAUUCCUAUUUCUGAAUGAUAUUCCACAAUCAAAACAAUUGACUAAAUCCCAUGAAACCAUUUCAUAAAAGUUUAUUGAUAUAUUUUCUUUUAUAAAGCAACUUGUUCCUUCUAGUAAUACCUCUAGGGGUUGGAGGUUACACUCGUUUUUAUUUCAUUUAUCAUUGAAAUUUGUUUCCCUUCU